CGUGCCAUUAGUUAGUUGGUAGGGUAAGUGGCCUACCAAGGCAUCGAUGGCUACGGGGUCUAAAAGGAUGAGCCCGCACACUGGUACUGAGACACGGACCAGACUCCUACGGGAGGCAGCAGUGAGGAAUAUUGGUCAAUGGGUGGAAGCCUGAACCAGCCAUGCCGCGUGCAGGAAGACGGCCUUAUGGGUUGUAAACUGCUUUUCUACGGGACGAACGGCUCUGACGCGUCAGGGAUUGACGGUACCGUAGGAAUAAGCAUCGGCUAACUCCGUGCCAGCAGCCGCGGUAAUACGGAGGAUGCGAGCGUUAUCCGGAUUUAUUAGGUUUAAAGGGUGCGUAGGCUGGGCAAUAAGUCAGUGGUGAAAGUCCGCGGCUCAACCGUGGGAUUGCCAUUGAAACUGCUGUUCUUGAGUACAGUCGAGGUAGGCGGAAUGUGUAAUGUAGCGGUGAAAUGCAUAGAUAUUACCCAGAACACCGAUUGCGUAGGCAGCUUACCAGCCUGGAACUGACGCUGAUGCACGAAAGCGUGGGGAGCGAACAGGAUUAGAUACCCUGGUAGUCCACGCCGUAAACGAUGAUCACUCGCUGUUGGCAAUAUAGAGUCAGCGGCUGAGCGAAAGCAUUAAGUGAUCCACCUGGGGAGUACGUCGGCAACGAUGAAACUCAAAGGAAUUGACGGGGGCCCGCACAAGCGGUGGAACAUGUGGUUUAAUUCGAUGAUACGCGGAGGGAACCUUACCUGGGCUUAAAUGUAGCCGGACGAUUCCGGGAAACGG
RNAcentral lists this ribosomal RNA (780 nucleotides) under uncultured organism. Its description in RNAcentral is "bacterial SSU rRNA". It matches the Rfam family "Bacterial small subunit ribosomal RNA", at positions 234 to 1009 of the family's 1533-position model. The record is from RNAcentral.